RNAcentral lists this ribosomal RNA (2904 nucleotides) under Nitrogeniibacter mangrovi. Its description in RNAcentral is "Azoarcus sp. M9-3-2 23S ribosomal RNA". It matches the Rfam family "Bacterial large subunit ribosomal RNA". Lineage: Bacteria; Pseudomonadati; Pseudomonadota; Betaproteobacteria; Rhodocyclales; Zoogloeaceae. The record is from RNAcentral.
GUUAUAGGAUCAAGCGACUAAGUGCAUGUGGUGGAUGCCUUGGCGAUCACAGGCGAUGAAGGACGUGUAAGCCUGCGAAAAGCUGCGGGGAGCUGGCAAUAGAGCUUUGAUCCGCAGAUGUCCGAAUGGGGAAACCCGGCCCUUUUGGGUCAUCCCGUACUGAAUACAUAGGUACGUGGAAGCGAACGCGGCGAACUGAAACAUCUAAGUAGCCGUAGGAAAAGAAAUCAACCGAGAUUCCCGAAGUAGCGGCGAGCGAACCGGGAACAGCCUGUACGACUAAACCAGUAACUCAGCAAAACGGGAUGGAAAGCCCGGCCAUAGAAGGUGAUAGCCCUGUAUGCGAAGGGUCGCUGGCGGGUCUGAGCGUACGACAAGUAGGGCGGGACACGUGUAAUCCUGUCUGAAUAUGGGGGGACCAUCCUCCAAGGCUAAAUACUCGUGAUCGACCGAUAGUGAACCAGUACCGUGAGGGAAAGGCGAAAAGAACCCCGGGAGGGGAGUGAAAUAGAUCCUGAAACCGCAUGCAUACAAACAGUGGGAGCCCCUUCGUGGGGUGACUGCGUACCUUUUGUAUAAUGGGUCAGCGACUUACGUUCAGUUGCAAGCUUAACCGAAUAGGGGAGGCGUAGCGAAAGCGAGUCUGAUAAGGGCGAAUGAGUAGCUGGAUGUAGACCCGAAACCAGAUGAUCUAUCCAUGGCCAGGAUGAAGGUGCGGUAACACGCACUGGAGGUCCGAACCCACUAAUGUUGAAAAAUUAGGGGAUGAGCUGUGGAUAGGGGUGAAAGGCCAAACAAAUCUGGAAAUAGCUGGUUCUCCCCGAAAACUAUUUAGGUAGUGCGUCGUGCGGACACUUCCGGGGGUAGAGCACUGUCAUCGUUGGGGGGGUCACUGCGAUUUACCCCGCGAUAGCAAACUCCGAAUACCGGAAAGUGAUACACGGCAGACAGACAGCGGGUGCUAACGUCCGUUGUCAAGAGGGAAACAACCCAGACCGCCAGCUAAGGUCCCAAAUGAUCAGUUAAGUGGUAAACGAGGUGGGAAGGCACAGACAGCUAGGAGGUUGGCUUAGAAGCAGCCACCCUUUAAAGAAAGCGUAAUAGCUCACUAGUCGAGUCGUCCUGCGCGGAAGAUGUAACGGGGCUCAAACUGAUAACCGAAGCUGCGGAUGCGUGCUUGCACGCAUGGUAGGGGAGCGUUCUGUAAGCCUGCGAAGGUGUCUCGUAAGGGAUGCUGGAGGUAUCAGAAGUGCGAAUGCUGACAUGAGUAGCGAUAAAGGGUGUGAAAAGCACCCUCGCCGAAAACCCAAGGUUUCCUGCGCAACGUUCAUCGGCGCAGGGUGAGUCGGCCCCUAAGGCGAGGCAGAAAUGCGUAGUCGAUGGGAAACAGGUCAAUAUUCCUGUACCGAUUUUAGAUGCGAUGGGGGGACGGAGAAGGUUAGGCCAGCCGGGUGUUGGAUGUCCCGGUUCAAGCGUGUAGUCGUGCCUGGUAGGCAAAUCCGCCGGGCUUAGAUGAGACGUGAUAACGAGGAUUCAUUGAAUCCGAAGUGGUCGAUACCAUGCUUCCAGGAAAAGCCUCUAAGCUUCAGUCUAAAAUCGACCGUACCGCAAACCGACACAGGUGGGUAGGUUGAAAAUACCAAGGCGCUUGAGAGAACUCAGGAGAAGGAACUCGGCAAAUUGACACCGUAACUUCGGGAGAAGGUGUGCCCCUUGUAUGUGAAACCCCUGCGGGUGGAGCAGAAGGGGGCCGCAGAGAAUCGGUGGCUGCGACUGUUUAUUAAAAACACAGCACUCUGCAAACACGAAAGUGGACGUAUAGGGUGUGACGCCUGCCCGGUGCCGGAAGGUUAAGUGAUGGGGUGCAAGCUCUUGAUCGAAGCCCCGGUAAACGGCGGCCGUAACUAUAACGGUCCUAAGGUAGCGAAAUUCCUUGUCGGGUAAGUUCCGACCUGCACGAAUGGCGUAACGAUGGCCACACUGUCUCCUCCUGAGACUCAGCGAAGUUGAAAUGGUUGUGAAGAUGCAAUCUCCCCGCGGCUAGACGGAAAGACCCCAUGAACCUUUACUGCAGCUUUGCAUUGGACUUUGACGUCACUUGUGUAGGAUAGGUGGGAGGCUUUGAAGCGGGAACGCCAGUUUCCGUGGAGCCAACCUUGAAAUACCACCCUGGUGUCGUUGAGGUUCUAACCUUGGUCCGUGAAUCCGGAUCGGGGACCGUGCAUGGUGGGCAGUUUGACUGGGGCGGUCUCCUCCUAAAGGGUAACGGAGGAGUACGAAGGUCUCCUAGGUACGGUCGGACAUCGUACUGAUAGUGCAAUGGCAAAAGGAGGCUUGACUGCGAGACCCACAAGUCGAGCAGGUGCGAAAGCAGGUCAUAGUGAUCCGGUGGUUCUGUAUGGAAGGGCCAUCGCUCAACGGAUAAAAGGUACUCUGGGGAUAACAGGCUGAUUCCGCCCAAGAGUUCACAUCGACGGCGGAGUUUGGCACCUCGAUGUCGGCUCAUCACAUCCUGGGGCUGUAGCCGGUCCCAAGGGUAUGGCUGUUCGCCAUUUAAAGUGGUACGUGAGCUGGGUUUAAAACGUCGUGAGACAGUUUGGUCCCUAUCUGCCGUGGGCGCUGGAAGUUUGAGAGGGCCUGCUCCUAGUACGAGAGGACCGGAGUGGACGCACCUCUGGUGUACCGGUUGUCACGCCAGUGGCAUCGCCGGGUAGCUAAGUGCGGAAGAGAUAACCGCUGAAAGCAUCUAAGCGGGAAACUCGCCUCAAGAUGAGACUUCCCUCGUGACUCGAUCACGCUCAAGGGUCGUCCAAGACCAGGACGUUGAUAGGUCGGGUGUGGAAGCGCAGUAAUGCGUUAAGCUAACCGAUACUAAUUGCCCGUGAGGCUUGAUCCUAUAACCUU